UUUUUUCUUACAAACAUGUGGGACGGCGAUGGGGACGAUCUUUGGCCCAAGUUUUUGCGAACCUACUGUUGGGAAGAGGAAAGUGUAUAAACCAACAAUCCAUUCCGGAAGAACUUGAAGAUGUACAAGAGAUCACGGAUUAAAUAUGGAAUCAAUACUCCAGCAGCGCUUGGACAAUUAUAAUGAACUGCCUGAGAAUGGAUUUUUAUAUGACUGGCACUUUUAAAAUGACUUUUGAGUUGAGAUUGGACCAGUACAAAAUCAAUACUGUAAUAGACUCUUCUUCUAUCUAAGACUUAUGUUUUUCUGUAUUAAUUCAUUAUGUAUUCUGGAUUUGCGAUCAGCAUUUGUUCUCUGGAGCCGGAAGAAAGCAUGCGUUCCACAACUCUACUUCCGCGUUCCACGAUCUGCACUAGGACUUCAGAACAGGAAAUGCGUUCCAGCUAGCUGACAGGAAGCGCGUCUUGCGUGCCAGCACCGCCCAGCGCAUAGGUGCACUUGUAAUUGUUAUUUAACUGCUAUUUUCAUAAAUAUGGCUUGUGAUUGUACUGCAUGAUGUUUUAGUUUUAAUUUUAAAUUCGUCUGGUAGCUUUGCAUACUCCUGUCGCGUCCGGGACCGGAAGUGACGUCAGUAUGCCUUCCAUAUGCGUUUCAAUAGGUUUUUUGUUGCUUAUAUUCAGACGGGCGAGUUUUGCCCUGUUCUUUUAAUAAGAUAAGGUCUAUUCCUAGUUAUUAUACUCCCUUUCUUCUACUCUAUCUUUAUAAAUAAAGAGUUUUGAUGUAGUUUAAUCAUUUCCUGUCACAUAAUGACAGGAAGUGAGGUCAUGAUGUUUGUCCCACAUGUCUCCACCAUCUUAAGUGCCAGAGGUAUAAAUUCAUCUCAAUACCUCUGGGACAUUAUCUCCAUGAUGAAUCUUGCCUUAAAGAUGAAACGCGUCGGAGGUUACCCUGGACACUAAUUGUUUCUUGUACGUGUGAUACCUGCUCAUUUUUAACUAUGUACUAAUUAAAUGUGAAACUUUCUUUCUACCACAA
Pseudophryne corroboree (corroboree frog) is the source of this 1035-nucleotide long non-coding RNA. RefSeq lists it as uncharacterized. NCBI's taxonomy places the organism in Eukaryota, Metazoa, Chordata, Amphibia, Anura, Myobatrachidae. The record is from RefSeq and is a predicted model, not a curated record. The transcript is spliced from 2 exons.